RNAcentral lists this ribosomal RNA (513 nucleotides) under uncultured bacterium. RNAcentral describes it as "bacterial SSU rRNA". It matches the Rfam family "Bacterial small subunit ribosomal RNA", at positions 29 to 525 of the family's 1533-position model. The record is from RNAcentral.
AACGAACGCUGGCGGCGCGCUUAACACAUGCAAGUCGAACGCGAAAAGCAGUAAUGCUGAGUAGAGUGGCGCACGGGUGAGUAACACGUAAAUGACAUGUCCUCGAGACGGGAAUAACCAGCCGAAAGGCUGGCUAAUACCCGGUAAGCCCACGUCUUUGGAGAUGAGGGAAAAGGGUCGGGAAUUUUCGAAUCCGAUCGCUUGAGGAGUGGUUUGCGGCCCAUCAGGUAGUUGGCGAGGUAAAAGCUCACCAAGCCUAAGACGGGUAGCUGGUCUGAGAGGAUGAUCAGCCACACUGGAACUGAGACACGGUCCAGACUCCUACGGGAGGCAGCAGUGGGGAAUAUUGGACAAUGGGCGCAAGCCUGAUCCAGCAAUACCGCGUGUGUGAAGAAGGCCCUAGGGUUGUAAAGCACUUUCAAUUGGGAGGAAAACCUGCCGGUCAAUACCGGCAGCUUGACAUACCUUUAGAAGAAGCACCGGCUAACUCCGUAGCCAGCAGCCGCGGUAAUC